CGCGUGUACUGGUCCGGCCGGGCCUUUCCCUCUGUGGAACCCCAUGCCCUUCACUGGGUGUGGCGGGGAAACAGGACUUUUACUGUGAAAAAAUUAGAGUGCUCCAGGCAGGCCUAUGCUCGAAUACAUUAGCACGGAAUAAUAGAAUAGGACGUGUGGUUCUAUUUUGUUGGUUUCUAGGACCGCCGUAAUGAUUAAUAGGGACAGUCGGGGGCAUCAGUAUUCAAUUGUCAGAGGUGAAAUUCUUGGAUUUAUUGAAGACUAACUACUGCGAAAGCAUUUGCCAAGGAUGUUUUCAUUAAUCAGGAACGAAAGUUAGGGGAUCGAAGACGAUCAGAUACCGUCGUAGUCUUAACCAUAAACUAUGCCGACUAGGGAUCGGACGGUGUUAUAUUUUGACCCGUUCGGCACCUUACGAGAAAUCAAAGUGCUUGGGCUCCAGGGGGAGUAUGGUCGCAAGGCUGAAACUUAAAGAAAUUGACGGAAGGGCACCACCAGGGGUGGAGCCUGCGGCUUAAUUUGACUCAACACGGGGAAACUCACCAGGUCCAGACACAAUGAGGAUUGACAGAUUGAGAGCUCUUUCUUGAUUUUGUGGGUGGUGGUGCAUGGCCGUUCUUAGUUGGUGGAGUGAUUUGUCUGCUUAAUUGCGAUAACGAACGAGACCUUAACCUGCUAAAUAGCCCGUAUUGCUUUGGCAGUACGCUGGCUUCUUAGAGGGACUAUCGG
RNAcentral lists this ribosomal RNA (729 nucleotides) under uncultured eukaryote. RNAcentral's name for it is "SSU rRNA". It matches the Rfam family "Eukaryotic small subunit ribosomal RNA", at positions 670 to 1426 of the family's 1831-position model. The record is from RNAcentral.